RNAcentral lists this long non-coding RNA (908 nucleotides) under Vulpes vulpes (red fox). RNAcentral describes it as "lncRNA (ENSVVUG00000011876.1)". The record is from RNAcentral. Lineage: Eukaryota; Metazoa; Chordata; Mammalia; Carnivora; Canidae.
GGAUUUGAUCCCGGGUCUCCAGGAUCACGCCCUGAGCCAAAGGCAGGCGCCAAAGCGCUGCGCCACCCAGGGAUCCCCAGAUUACAUUCCUAAUGGAGAAUAUUUGUGGAAAAUAUUUGCCCCCAUUUGUACGUUGAAAUUUUAACACCCAAAGUUGAUUGUCUCAGGAGGUGGAGCUUUCGGAGGUGCUUGGGUCACCGAGGUGGAGCCUUCAUGAAGAGACCCCACAGAGCUUCCCAGCUCUUUCCUCUAAGCGAGGAUACCCCAACUCUGAGCCAGAAGAGAUUCUAGAACAUGACCAUGCUGCUGCCUUGCUCUUGAACUUCCCAGCUUCCAGAAUUGUGAGCAGUAAGGUUUUGUUGUUUAUAAGCUACCCAGUCUGUGCUUUUUCGUUAUAGCAGCACAAACUGAGACAAUAUCAAAUGGAUUAGAUCAAAUAAUUAUUCUUUCUUUUGGUGGCACAUGACCGACUCCUUGUCAGUUUCUAGGAGAUUAUUUCAUCAGGACUUUGCUGAUACCACAGUCUUUGGCAUGACUUACCAGCUCAUUGCUGAUCCCAGGAAAAGACUGAGUGCCUACAAAUGAACAGGUCACAGAUCUUCUGCCCUAUGGGAAGACAGGCAGGUGGUUAUCAUGGACCCACCUCUUGGAAAGGAAGAAGUCUGUUCCACUGGCAAGAUAAACCCAAGCAUUCUUGACCCAAGUCUGCUGUCUCUUUGCUGGAUGCAAAGUCCUAGGAUAAAAGUGAGGCUUACUUGGCAUUUGCCUCCUUGGAUUGUCAGCUCCCUGAGGGCAGACCUGCAUCUUGUGACUCCACCUAUCCUAAUGCGAAGUCUGGCACAAACUUCAUGAUUCAUGAGUCUUAGUGAAUGAAUAAAAAUGUGAACAAAUGAAUGUAUGCUUACCUG